Molecule: ribosomal RNA, 365 nt
Filed under: uncultured eukaryote
Lineage: Eukaryota
Description: partial 18S ribosomal RNA
Rfam family: Eukaryotic small subunit ribosomal RNA
Source: RNAcentral
CAAUAGCGUAUAUUUAAGUUGUUGCAGUUAAAAAGCUCGUAGUCGGAUUUUGGCUGAGAACGAACGGUCCGCCGUUAGGUGUGCACUGUUUGGUCUCAGCUUCCUGGUGAGGAGGUGUGCUUCACGGCCACUUAGUCACCGUGGUUACUUUGAAAAAAUUAGAGUGUUCAAAGCGGGCUUACGCUUGAAUAUAUUAGCAUGGAAUAACACCAUAGGACUCCUGUCCUAUUUCGUUGGUCUCGGGACGGGAGUAAUGAUUAAGAGGAACAGUUGGGGGCAUUCGUAUUUCGUUGUCAGAGGUGAAAUUCUUGGAUUUAUGAAAGACGAACUUCUGCGAAAGCAUUUGCCAAGGAUGUUUUCAUUGA